RNAcentral lists this ribosomal RNA (392 nucleotides) under uncultured bacterium. Its description in RNAcentral is "bacterial SSU rRNA". It matches the Rfam family "Bacterial small subunit ribosomal RNA", at positions 30 to 421 of the family's 1533-position model. The record is from RNAcentral.
AUUGAACGCUGGCGGCAUGCCUUACACAUGCAAGUCGAACGGCAGCACGGGAGCUUGCUCCUGGUGGCGAGUGGCGAACGGGUGAGUAAUACAUCGGAACGUACCCUGAAGUGGGGGAUAACGUAGCGAAAGUUACGCUAAUACCGCAUAUUCUGUGAGCAGGAAAGAGGGGGAUCGCAAGACCUCUUGCUUUAGGAGCGGCCGAUGUCGGAUUAGCUAGUUGGUGAGGUAAAGGCUCACCAAGGCGACGAUCCGUAGCGGGUCUGAGAGGAUGAUCCGCCACACUGGGACUGAGACACGGCCCAGACUCCUACGGAGGCAGCAGUGGGGAAUUUUGGACAAUGGGCGCAAGCCUGAUCCAGCCAUGCCGCGUGAGUGAAGAAGGCCUUCGG